RNAcentral lists this ribosomal RNA (32 nucleotides) under Opuntia robusta (nopal tapon). RNAcentral's name for it is "partial 18S ribosomal RNA". Lineage: Eukaryota; Viridiplantae; Streptophyta; Magnoliopsida; Caryophyllales; Cactaceae. The record is from RNAcentral.
UUUCGUUAGGUGAACCUGCGGAAGGAUCAUUG